This 198-nucleotide ribosomal RNA is filed under the name uncultured bacterium. RNAcentral's name for it is "partial 16S ribosomal RNA". It matches the Rfam family "Bacterial small subunit ribosomal RNA", at positions 328 to 539 of the family's 1533-position model. The record is from RNAcentral.
ACGCUCGACACCUACGGGAGGCGGCAGUGGGGAAUAUUGCACAAUGGGGGAAACCCUGAUGCAGCGACGCCGCGUGGAGGAAGAAGGUCUUCGGAUUGUAAACUCCUGUUGUUGGGGAAAAAGAGGAUGGUACCCAACAAGGAAGUGACGGCUAACUACGUGCCUGCAGCCGCGGUAAUCUGAGCGGGCUGGCAAGGC